RNAcentral lists this non-coding RNA (29 nucleotides) under Mus musculus (house mouse). The record is from RNAcentral. Lineage: Eukaryota; Metazoa; Chordata; Mammalia; Rodentia; Muridae.
UAACAUUCUAUUAAAGCAGCAGAUGAAAA